UAGAUACCCUGGUAGUCCACGCGGUAAACGAUGGAUGCUCGUUGUCGGCCUUUGUGGUCGGUGACCAAGCGAAAGCGUUAAGCAUCCCACCUGGGGAGUACGCCGGCAACGGUGAAACUCAAAGGAAUUGACGGGGGCCCGCACAAGCGGAGGAACAUGUGGUUUAAUUCGAUGAUACGCGAGGAACCUUACCCGGGCUUGAACUGCGGCGGAACGAUUCCGAGAGGAUGAGGCCCUUCGGGGCUGCCGC
Molecule: ribosomal RNA, 250 nt
Filed under: uncultured bacterium
Lineage: Bacteria
Description: partial 16S ribosomal RNA
Rfam family: Bacterial small subunit ribosomal RNA
Source: RNAcentral